This 1500-nucleotide ribosomal RNA is filed under the name uncultured organism. Its description in RNAcentral is "bacterial SSU rRNA". It matches the Rfam family "Bacterial small subunit ribosomal RNA". The record is from RNAcentral.
UUGAUCCUGGCUCAGAAUGAACGCUGGCGGCGUGCUUAACACAUGCAAGUCGAACGAGAAAUCUUUAGCUUGCUAGAGAAAGUAAAGUGGCGCACGGGUGAGUAACGCGUGGGUAAUCUGCCUCCGAAUCGGGGAUAACAUUGCGAAAGCGAUGCUAAUACCGGAUAAAAUCUGGUUGGCUUCGGUGAACCGGAUCAAAGGUGGUCUCUUUAUAAAAGCUACCGUUUGGAGAUGAGCUCGCGUACCAUUAGCUAGUUGGUGAGGUAAAGGCUCACCAAGGCGACGAUGGUUAGCUGGUCUGAGAGGAUGAUCAGCCACACCGGAACUGGAACACGGUCCGGACUUCUACGGAAGGCAGCAGUAGGGAAUAUUGCGCAAUGGAGGAAACUCUGACGCAGCGACGCCGUGUGAGUGAUGAAGGCUUUCGGGUCGUAAAGCUCUGUCAGAAGGGAAGAACGGCGGUAUGGAUAAUACCCAUACCGAUUGACGGUACCUUCAAAGGAAGCACCGGCUAACUACGUGCCAGCAGCCGCGGUAAUACGUAGGGUGCGAGCGUUGUUCGGAAUUAUUGGGCGUAAAGCGCGUGUAGGUGGCUUGUUAAGUCGGGUGUGAAAUCCCUGGGCUCAACCCAGGACGUGCAUCCGAAACUAGCUCGCUAGAGGACAGCAGAGGGAGGUGGAAUUCCUAGUGUAGAGGUGAAAUUCGUAGAUAUUAGGAGGAAUACCGGUGGCGAAGGCGGCCUCCUGGACUGUUCCUGACACUGAGACGCGAAAGCGUGGGUAGCAAACAGGAUUAGAUACCCUGGUAGUCCACGCCGUAAACGAUGGGUACUAGAUGUUGUGAGAUAGACCCUCACAGUGUCGUAGCAAACGCGUUAAGUACCCCGCCUGGGAAGUACGGCCGCAAGGUUAAAACUUAAAGGAAUUGACGGGGGCCCGCACAAGCGGUGGAGCAUGUGGUUUAAUUCGACGCAACGCGCAGAACCUUACCCAGGUUUGACAUGCACCGGCACAGCGAGGAGAGUCGCUGGCCCGUUUCGGGACGGUGCACAGGUGCUGCAUGGCUGUCGUCAGCUCGUGUCGUGAGAUGUUGGGUUAAGUCCCGCAACGAGCGCAACCCCUGCCCGUAGUUGCCAACAGGUGAUGCUGGGGACUCUACGGGGACUAUCGGUGUGAAACCGGAGGAAGGUGGGGAUGACGUCAAGUCCUCAUGGCCCUUACGCCUGGGGCGACACACGUGCUACAAUGGGGCGGACAACGGGGGGCGACCCUGCGAGGGGGAGCGAAUCCCUGAAACCGUGUCUCAGUUCGGAUUGGAGUCUGCAACUCGACUCCAUGAAGGUGGAAUCGCUAGUAAUCGCGGAUCAGCAUGCCGCGGUGAUACGUUCCCGGGCCUUGUACACACCGCCCGUCACACCACGAAAGUUGAUAUACCCGAAGUCGCCGGGCCAACCGCAAGGGGGUAGGUGCCGAAGGUAUGAUGAGCGCUUGGGGUGAAGUC